UACGUAGGGUGCAAGCGUUAAUCGGAAUUACUGGGCGUAAAGCGUGCGCAGGCGGUUAUGUAAGACAGAUGUGAAAUCCCCGGGCUCAACCUGGGAACUGCAUUUGUGACUGCAUAGCUAGAGUACGGUAGAGGGGGAUGGAAUUCCGCGUGUAGCAGUGAAAUGCGUAGAUAUGCGGAGGAACACCGAUGGCGAAGGCAAUCCUCUGGACCUGUACUGACGCUCAUGCACGAAAGCGUGGGGAGCAAACAGG
Molecule: ribosomal RNA, 253 nt
Filed under: uncultured bacterium
Lineage: Bacteria
Description: partial 16S ribosomal RNA
Rfam family: Bacterial small subunit ribosomal RNA
Source: RNAcentral